This 418-nucleotide ribosomal RNA is filed under the name Chiltoniidae sp. CU1. Its description in RNAcentral is "partial 28S ribosomal RNA". The record is from RNAcentral. Lineage: Eukaryota; Metazoa; Arthropoda; Malacostraca; Amphipoda; Chiltoniidae.
CUGCUCGAAAUGCUUGAGCACUGGCUAGUUGGGAUGUGGCUUUUUGGCCUUCGUGCCAUGUCACGGUGCCCCUUGCAGGCGGGCGCGUUCAUGGGCGUUGCACAUGUGUGUGUUGUGUGGCGCUCCUCUGACGUGUCCGUGCUGGGUGAUCCUAUCGAAGCAUCACACGGUAAUUGCCCACCACAGCUCGUUGCUUGGUCACCCGCUGUGUCUAAACGUGCAGGAUGCUCAUCCAGUUUCCGGACUGUCAAUGUUGACGCGUGUAUGGGCGAUGAUGUGCCGUACGGAGGGCUUUUCCGUACGCGCACGCGCCCGCGUCACGUCCGUGAUCCUGGCUCUGACUGCCGACUUGUAGACGUGGUGUGAUCCAUUCGGCGACGAAGCUGGAAUUGGCCAGACGCAUACAACCCCAGCACUG